This 85-nucleotide transfer RNA is filed under the name Deltaproteobacteria bacterium. RNAcentral describes it as "tRNA-Leu". It matches the Rfam family "tRNA". From Rfam's summary of the family: Transfer RNA (tRNA) molecules are approximately 80 nucleotides in length. The record is from RNAcentral. Lineage: Bacteria; Pseudomonadati; Myxococcota; Myxococcia.
GCCGAAGUGGCGGAAUAGGUAGACGCACGGGUCUCAAAAACCCGCGAGCUCGCUCGUGCCGGUUCGAUUCCGGCCUUCGGCACCA